GGAAAAAAAAAAUCCCACCCAACAAUCAAAGACUGUUGUGGCCAUGAUUUUUUGGAUUGUCUACCAUACAGCUUGGACAAUUCUUCCAAUAGUAGGCUCCAGGGAACCAUCUUUGGGCUUUAUCUCACUUACUCAGCUUCUACUCGAGACUACUGUGCAUUCUAAGCUUUCCCACAGGAUCUACAUUCUUCGCCUGCAAAACAUGUGCUUUUGCUUCUGCACCAAAAUCAAUCACAGAUCUGGGGCCCCUGAGAGGGAUGGAGGACCAAUACAACAGAAACACACCAGUGAACGUGCCGAGAAGUCUUCCUAGGAGAUUCUUCAAGAAGUAAAUUUUAAAGAGU
Molecule: long non-coding RNA, 344 nt
Organism: Lagopus leucura (white-tailed ptarmigan)
Lineage: Eukaryota; Metazoa; Chordata; Aves; Galliformes; Phasianidae
Exons: 3
Source: RefSeq, a predicted model, not a curated record